GACGAACGCUGGCGGCGUGCUUAACACAUGCAAGUCGAACGAAGAGCGAUGGAAGCUUGCUUCUAUCACUCUUAGUGGCGAACGGGUGAGUAACGCGUAAUCAACCUGCCCUUCAGAGGGGGACAACAGUUGGAAACGACUGCUAAUACCGCAUACGAUCUGACCUCGGCAUCGAGGAUAGAUGAAAGGUGGCCUCUACAUGUAAGCUAUCACUGAAGGAGGGGAUUGCGUCUGAUUAGCUAGUUGGAGGGGUAACGGCCCACCAAGGCGAUGAUCAGUAGCCGGUCUGAGAGGAUGAACGGCCACAUUGGGACUGAGACACGGCCCAGACUCCUACGGGAGGCAGCAGUGGGGAAUCUUCCGCAAUGGACGAAAGUCUGACGGAGCAACGCCGCGUGAGGGAUGACGGCCUUCGGGUUGUAAAGCUCUGUUAAUCGGGACGAAAGGCCUUUUUGCGAAUAGUGAGAAGGAUUGACGGUACCGGAAUAGAAAGCCACGGCUAACUACGUG
Molecule: ribosomal RNA, 510 nt
Filed under: uncultured bacterium
Lineage: Bacteria
Description: partial 16S ribosomal RNA
Rfam family: Bacterial small subunit ribosomal RNA
Source: RNAcentral